RNAcentral lists this ribosomal RNA (253 nucleotides) under uncultured bacterium. RNAcentral's name for it is "partial 16S ribosomal RNA". It matches the Rfam family "Bacterial small subunit ribosomal RNA", at positions 524 to 776 of the family's 1533-position model. The record is from RNAcentral.
GACGAACCGUGCGAACGUUGUUCGGAAUCACUGGGCUUAAAGGGCGCGUAGGCGGCUUGCUAAGUCAGGGGUGAAAUCUUUCGGCUUAACCGGAAAAGUGCCUUUGAUACUGGCAGGCUAGAGGGAGGUAGGGGCAUGCGGAACUUCCGGUGGAGCGGUGAAAUGCGUUGAUAUCGGAAGGAACGCCGGUGGCGAAAGCGGCGUGCUGGACCUCUUCUGACGCUGAGGCGCGAAAGCUAGGGGAGCAAACGGG